Molecule: long non-coding RNA, 1223 nt
Filed under: Panax ginseng (ginseng)
Lineage: Eukaryota; Viridiplantae; Streptophyta; Magnoliopsida; Apiales; Araliaceae
Description: long non-coding RNA (PGIN_LNC000789)
Source: RNAcentral
AGGAUUGUUUUGGUGAGAAUCUUCAUGAAAAAUAUCUUAUAGAUAAAUUGUCCAAACAAUAAAAUGAAAAUUUAUUUUAGAUAAACCCUUUAUAUUACUAUAUAAAAUUUGUAUAAUUGAAAUUUUAAUAUGGGACUAUAAUUGUGUCAGAUUUUCGUGUAUGCUAUUGUUUGGUCAUAGCCUUGAUUUCUUAUUCCGUUCUUGGUACAACUUGAAACUAUUUAACACCACCUGAAAGUGAUGUUUAAACAGCAUAUAUAAUGCUUUGCUAAAGUUAAUUAUAAUUAUAUCUUCCCACUGAACAACAAUGCACUUAAGUCAUUCAGGUCGUUUGUUUCGGAAAAAAAUCGUUUGAAUGGCUGACCGACAUUCAGACGAUUUGGGCUGAAUGGAUAAGUCCCAUUUUUUUGGGCUGAAUGACGGCCGGAUGAUUUUUUUAAUUUACAAUAUUAAUUAUUAUAUUUAGUAAUAUUAAAUAAAUUUAUAACAAUUUUGAAUUUUUUCAAUGGGGUAAAAUAAUAAAAAUAUGUUAUUCAGAUGUUUCAGAUAUUUCAAUUAUCAAACAGCUUUUAUUUAGAUUCAACUCAUUCAUAUUCAGAUUCAUUCAGUUUUUAUCAAACAGCCCCUUGGCUGUCAGACUCGGUGGAAGUUACUGUUAGGGCAGCAACUAAAUUAUAUAUAUGCUAGUCUGAUGAUUAACCAAUGAUACUUAUAGUUAAAUCAGUGAGAUUAAGUUUAUUCUCAAAAUCAUAGGAUUGUUUUGGUGAGAAUCUUCAUGAAAAAUAUCUUAUAGAUAAAUUGUCCAAACAAUAAAAUGAAAAUUUAUUUUAGAUAAACCCUUUAUAUUACUAUAUAAAAUUUGUAUAAUUGAAAUUUUAAUAUGGGACUAUAAUUGUGUCAGAUUUUCGUGUAUGCUAUUGUUUGGUCAUAGCCUUGAUUUCUUAUUCCGUUCUUGGUACAACUUGAAACUAUUUAACACCACCUGAAAGUGAUGUUUAAACAGCAUAUAUAAUGCUUUGCUAAAGUUAAUUAUAAUUAUAUCUUCCCACUGAACAACAAUGCACUUAACCGGUCAUUCGUUCACCCAGGCAAGACUUUUGGCAUGCUAUCCUCUAGAGAAACCAAUACAGGCUGGAACUCUCAUCAGGUUCUCCUUUAGGUUACCAAAUUACUGCUCUGCUGCUUCUUCCUUAUGCGGAUUUGAGCUGGCAUGCUCAUCUGAC